This 1022-nucleotide long non-coding RNA is filed under the name Macaca fascicularis (crab-eating macaque). RNAcentral's name for it is "lncRNA (ENSMFAG00000065474.1)". Lineage: Eukaryota; Metazoa; Chordata; Mammalia; Primates; Cercopithecidae. The record is from RNAcentral.
GAGGAGGUUCUGGUAACUUCUGGUUUGUAUGUUUCAAGAAUGACUGAAAGACUCAGAAUUGUUGCUGGGCUGGAGGAUCUGGGUUUCCUAAGUAGCAUGUGUACAGUGGGGACACCUUAUAUAGGCGUUUCUUCUAGCAUGGUUAUGCGGGGGUAACAAGAACAAAACAAUGUAUAGCAUAUUCAUAUCCAGCAAGGACAAAAGAGGUCCUUACCUGGGAAAAAGGUUGAAUACAGUGACAGAACAAUAGGAAAACAGUAUUACAGGAAACCUAUUAGUCCUAAGAUUUUUAACUACAUUUACUUGCUUGAUGAGUCCUCAAGCUUUGGCCAUGCGUAGACUAGUCAGCUGCCGGUGUGUGACUAGAGCAGGGCUUGUUGUCUCCUCAAGCUUCAGCCGUGUGUAGACUGGUCAGCCCCCAGAGUGACCAGAGCAGGGCUGUCAUCCUCAGCAGCAGCUUGGUCUCGUCUCAGGAUCAGCCGAGUUGGAUGAUCUGUGUCCUGCUGGCUGGUCCACUUAUCCUGAGCUGCCGGUAUUAGCUGACUGAGGGGAUCCAAGACACAACACCUGCAACUUUAACAGCAGUGGGAGUGGACAAGGUUACAGUAGAGGGCCCAUCCUAUAUGGGUCCUAUUAAAAUUAGAUUUUACUUUAAACAGAGUCACUAGAUUUAAAGGGAUGUCAAGCUUACAGGCAUUUUUAUUUAUUUAAUCAUGAACACUUUGUGUGGCUAUUUUUAAAGCUUGCAUUUGCUUUUUUAAGGUUAAUUCCUUUAGUUUCUGGAGGUCACCUUUAAUUUGACUUAUGAUUUGGGGGUGGCAGACCGAACAAAAUCUUAUAGGGCAAAUACCUAGUUUGUUUGGUGGCAGUGCACCUGACUCGGAGGAGGACCAUAGGCAAAAAUCUGAUUUUAUCUUAAAUGAAUUUCCUGGCAAUAUUUUUUCAGUAGCUGCUCGAGUGUCCAGUUCAUGCGUUCCACCUUUUCUUGAACUUUGUGGCCGAUAGGUUGUGUGUAACUUCUA